Molecule: Y RNA, 115 nt
Filed under: Prolemur simus (greater bamboo lemur)
Lineage: Eukaryota; Metazoa; Chordata; Mammalia; Primates; Lemuridae
Description: Y RNA (ENSPSMG00000000067.1)
Rfam family: Y RNA
About the family: Y RNAs are components of the Ro ribonucleoprotein particle (Ro RNP), in association with Ro60 and La proteins. The Y RNAs and Ro60 and La proteins are well conserved, but the function of the Ro RNP is not known.
Source: Rfam by way of RNAcentral
GGCUGAUCCAAAGGUAGUGAGUUAUCUCACUUAGAUUGUUCACAGUCAGUUACAGAUUGAACUCCUUGUUCUACUGCUUUCCCUCCUUCUCACUACUGAACUUGACUAGUCAAAA